AGUGAACGCUGGCGGUAGGCCUAACACAUGCAAGUCGAACGGCAGCACAGUAAGAGCUUGCUCUUACGGGUGGCGAGUGGCGGACGGGUGAGGAAUACAUCGGAAUCUACUUUUUCGUGGGGGAUAACGUAGGGAAACUUACGCUAAUACCGCAUACGACCUACGGGUGAAAGCAGGGGAUCUUCGGACCUUGCGCGAUUGAAUGAGCCGAUGUCGGAUUAGCUAGUUGGCGGGGUAAAGGCCCACCAAGGCGACGAUCCGUAGCUGGUCUGAGAGGAUGAUCAGCCACACUGGAACUGAGCCACGGCCCAGACUCCUACGGGGGGCAGCAGUGGGGAAUAUUGGACAAUGGGCGAAAGCCUGAUCCAGCCAUACCGCGUGGGUGAAGAAGGCCUUCGGGUUGUAAAGCCCUUUUGUUGGGAAAGAAAAGCAGCAGGUUAAUACCCCGCUGUUCUGACGGUACCCAAAGAAUAAGCACCGGCUAACUUCGUG
This 492-nucleotide ribosomal RNA is filed under the name uncultured bacterium. RNAcentral describes it as "partial 16S ribosomal RNA". It matches the Rfam family "Bacterial small subunit ribosomal RNA", at positions 29 to 507 of the family's 1533-position model. The record is from RNAcentral.